AUACGUAGGGGGCGAGCGUUGUCCGGAAUGAUUGGGCGUAAAGGGCGCGUAGGCGGCGCGGUAAGUCUGGAGUGAAAGUCCUGCUUUCAAGGUGGGAAUUGCUUUGGAUACUGCCGCGCUUGAGUGCAGGAGAGGUUAUCGGAAUUCCCGGUGUAGCGGUGAAAUGCGUAGAGAUCGGGAGGAACACCAGUGGCGAAGGCGACUUACUGGACUGUAACUGACGCUGAGGCGCGAAAGUGUGGGGAGCAAACAGGAUUAGAUACCCUGGUAGUCCACACUGUAAACGAUGAAUGCUAGGUGUAGGGGGUAUCGACCCCUUCUGUGCCGCAGUCAACACAAUAAGCAUUCCGCCUGGGGAGUACGGCCGCAAGGUUGAAACUCAAAUGAAUUGGCGGGG
This 397-nucleotide ribosomal RNA is filed under the name uncultured bacterium. RNAcentral describes it as "partial 16S ribosomal RNA". It matches the Rfam family "Bacterial small subunit ribosomal RNA", at positions 523 to 918 of the family's 1533-position model. The record is from RNAcentral.